UUAAGCUACUAAGAGCAUAGGGAGGAUACCUUGACACCAAGAGCCGAUGAAGGACGUGAUAAGCUGCGAAAAGCUAUGGGGAGGAGCAAAUAUCUAUUGAUCCAUAGAUAUCCGAAUGAGGAAACUCAACUAGAAGAAAUAAUCUAGUUAUCCAUACGUAAGUAAAGUAGCGUAUGAGAAGGGAACGCAGGGAACUGAAACAUCUUAGUACCUGCAGGAAAAGAAAGAAAACUCGAUUCCUGAAGUAGUGGCGAGCGAAACAGGAAGAGCCUAAACCAGGAGAAGUAAUUCACCUGGGGUGACGGACUACAUAAAUGACUCAAGAAUCUAAUAGAAAUGUUUUGGAAAAGCAUACCAUAGAAGGUGAAAGUCCAGUAUAUGAAAGAAGAAGGAGCAUAGUAGUAUCCAGAGUAAUGCGAGGCACGUGGAAUCUCGUAUGAAAAAGUGGGGACCACCCCAUAAGGCUAAAUACUACUUGGUGAUCGAUAGUGAAAUAGUACCGUGAGGGAAAGGUGAAAAGAACCCCGGGAGGGGAGUGAAAGAGAACUUGAAACCCUAUGUUUACAAGCAGAUAGAGCGAUUUAAGGCGCGAUAUCGUACUUUUUGUAGAACGGUCCAGCGAGUUAUUGUAUAUGGCAAGGUUAAGUACUAAGUAAGGUACGGAGCCGAAGUGAAAGCGAGCCUGAAUAGGGCGAAUUAAGUCAUAUGUAAUAGACCCGAAACCGGGUGACCUAUCCAUGGUCAGGAUGAAGCUAGAGUAAAAUCUAGUGGAGGUCCGAACUCAUAAGCGUUAAAAAGCUUCGGGAUGAACUGUGGAUAGCGGAGAAAUUCCAAUCGAACUCGGAGAUAGCUGGUUCUCCUCGAAAUAGCUUUAGGGCUAGCCUUGUGUAGUAGUAUAUGGGGGUAGAGCACUGACUGAGGUAGGGGCCUAACCAGGUUACCAAACUCUAUCAAACUCCGAAUACCGUAUAUGUAAGCACAGGAGUCAGACUGUGGGAGCUAAGUUCCAUGGUCAAAAGGGAAAGAGCCCAGAUCGUCAAUUAAGGUCCCAAAGAUAUAGCUAAGUGGCAAACGAUGUGAUUUUGCGUAAACAACCAGGAUGUUGGCUUAGAAGCAGCCAUACAUUUAAAGAGUGCGUAAUAGCUCACUGGUCGAGUGAAGUUGCGCGGAAAAUUACCGGGGCUAAGCUAUACACCGAAAUUGCGGAUUUACAUUUGAAAUACAAUGUAAGUGGUAGAGGAGCAUUCUGUAGUAGGGAGAAGCAUAAGCGAGAGCAUGUGUGGACGAGGCAGAAGAGAGAAUGCUGGAAUAAGUAGCGAGAGCAAGGUGAGAAUCCUUGCCGUCGAAAGUCUAAGGUUUCCUGGGGAAGGUUCGUCCGCCCAGGGUAAGUCGGGACCUAAGGUGAGGCCGAGGAAGAGGAAAAACUCGUAUCGCAAGAUAUAGUGAAAAUAAAGUAACGAAUUAUCAAGAAGCACACUGACGAGAAAAGCUUGUAGAUAUUGUAUAUAAAUACCCGUACCGCAAACCGACACAGGUAGAUGAGGAGAGGAUCCUAAGACGAGCGGGAGAAGCAUUGUUAAGGAACUCGGCAAAUUGACCCCGUAACUUAGGGAGAAGGGGUGCCAAGGUAACACUUGGCCGCAGUGAAGAGGUUCAAGCAACUGUUUAACAAAAACACAGGUUUCUGCUAAAUCGAAAGAUGAAGUAUAGGAGCUGACGCCUGCCCAGUGCUGGAAGGUCAAAGGGAAGUGUUAGUAAAAACUUACGAAGCACAGAACUCAAGCCCCAGUGAACGGCGGCCGUAACUAUAACGGUCCUAAGGUAGCGAAAUUCCUUGUCAGGUAAGUUCUGACCCGCACGAAAGGCGUAAUGAUUUGAACACUGUCUCAACAAUGUACCCGGCGAAAUUGUAGUACUAGUGAAGAUGCUAGUUACCUGCGACAAGACAGAAAGACCCCAUGGAGCUUUACUGCAGCUUGAUACUGGGUUUUGGUAAUUUAUGUACAGGAUAGGUGGGAUACGAAGAAGCAAGUGCGCCAGCAUUUGUGGAGUAGCCGUUGGGAUACCACUCUUAAAUUAUUGAAAUUCUAACCUGUGAUCAUGAACUGGUCAGGGGACAAUGUCAGGUGGGCAGUUUGACUGGGGCGGUCGCCUCCUAAAGAGUAACGGAGGCGCCCAAAGGUUUCCUCAGCACGGACAGAAAUCGUGCGCAAGAGUGUAAAGGCAGAAGGAAGCUUAACUGGGAGACUGACAAGUCGAGCAGAUACGAAAGUAGGGCUUAGUGAUCCGGCGGUAGUGAGUGGAAAUGCCGUCGCUCAACGGACAAAAGUUA
RNAcentral lists this ribosomal RNA (2332 nucleotides) under human gut metagenome. RNAcentral's name for it is "bacterial LSU rRNA". It matches the Rfam family "Bacterial large subunit ribosomal RNA", at positions 3 to 2465 of the family's 2925-position model. The record is from RNAcentral.